This 228-nucleotide ribosomal RNA is filed under the name uncultured Sclerocystis. RNAcentral's name for it is "partial small subunit ribosomal RNA". It matches the Rfam family "Eukaryotic small subunit ribosomal RNA", at positions 548 to 778 of the family's 1831-position model. The record is from RNAcentral. Lineage: Eukaryota; Fungi; Glomeromycota; Glomeromycetes; Glomerales; Glomeraceae.
UUGGAGGGCAAGUCUGGUGCCAGCAGCCGCGGUAAUUCCAGCUCCAAUAGCGUAUAUUAAAGUUGUUGCAGUUAAAAAGCUCGUAGUUGAAUUUCGGGAUCAUCAGGUUGGUCGUGCCAUUGGUAUGUACUAGCUUUGGUGGUUCCUACCUCUUGAAGAACCGUAAUGUCAUUAACUUGGUGUUGCGGGGAAUCAGGACUGUUACUUUGAAAAAAUUAGAGUGUUUAA